RNAcentral lists this long non-coding RNA (3509 nucleotides) under Homo sapiens (human). Its description in RNAcentral is "HSALNT0221210". The record is from RNAcentral. Lineage: Eukaryota; Metazoa; Chordata; Mammalia; Primates; Hominidae.
AAAAAAGAAGCCCAUACCAAGAAUUUUGAAAACUAGAGAUAAAAAUAUCUUAAAAACAGCCACAGAAAAAUGACAUAUUACCUACAAAUUGACACCAACUUGAAUGACAGCAAAUUUAUCAUUAGAAACCAUGGAGGUAAGAAAGAAGUGGCAUGACACUUUUCAGAUACUAAAAGAAAGGAACUGUCAAUCCCAAAUGCUGUACCUGGCAAAAUUAUCCUUCAUGAAUGAAGGGGAAAUAAUAACAUUCUCAGAGGAAAAAAACACAAAGUCAAUUUGUUGCUAGCAGAUGUACCCUUAACAAAUAGCUAAAGGAAGCUCUCCAAACACAAAAUGAUAACAGAAGAAGGCUGGGAACUUUAGAAAGGCAAGAAGAACAAUGGGGUAGAUAAAAAUAAAGGGAAGUGUAAUAGACGGUUCUUCACCUCAUGAGUUUCUUUCAUCACAUUUUGUGUUCAAAGCAGAAGCUGUAACACCAUCUUAUGUGGUUAUAGACAAAAUAACCAUCUUAUGUGUAUACUGAAAAAAUAUUUAAAUAAUUAUACUCAAAAAGUGUGGGGAGUGGGUAGGUAAAAAGACCUAAAUGGAAGUAAGGUUUCUACACUUAAGGGGGAAAAGCCAUUACCAGUAGACUGUGUUUAAUUUCAUAUGGACAUGGUAAUAUCCAAAAUAACCACUAAGAACACUACACAAAGUGAUAUGCUCAAAACGUAACACACAAAGCAAACAAACUCUAAAAAGGUGUCCAAGUAACCCACAGAAAAGGCAAAAAAAAAAAAAAAAAGAGAGAGAGAAAUAAAGUGGACAAACAGAAAAACUACAAAAUGAUAGACUUGGGCCCUAACAUAUCAAUAAUUAGCUUAAAUAUAGUGUAAAUAUACCAAUUAAAACUGAGAUAGAAUGGAUUAAAAAAAUAUAACCCAACUAAUUAUGCUCUCUACAAGAAUUCAUUUCAAAUAUAACAGUAUAUGCAAGUUGAAAAUAAAAGGAUGGAAAAAGAUGUAUCAUGCCCACAUUAGUUUUAUAAAAAGCAUUGGUGGCUAUGUCAACAUUAGAUACAGUAGACUUCAGAGAAAAACAAAAAUUACUAACAGAAAAUAACAUUACAUAAGGAAAAAACAACUUCUCUGUUAAGAUAGAGGAAUCUUAAAUGUACAGGCAUCAAACAACAAAGCUUCAAAUUACAUGAAACAAAAACUGAGAGCUGAAAGAAAAAGUAGAAAAAUCCAUAAUUACUGUUAAGAACCUCACUCUCGGCAACUGAGAAAACUGCCAGGCAGAAAAUUAACAAAGAUAUUCAUUCAAAAGACUGGAACACCACCAUCAACUAAUAGGGAUCUAACUGGUAUUUAUAGAGCCCACUUUACAUGAUAAUAGCAGAAUAUAUGUUCUUUUUGAAUACUCGUAGAACACUCACCAAAAAGGAUAUCCUGGGAUAUAAAAACAAACCUUAAAAUUUCAAAAGGACUGAAAUCAUACAGAGUAUGUUCUCUGACCAUAAUGGAAUCAAACUAAAAAAUCAAUAGUAGAAAGACAGCAGAAAAACCUCUAAACACUUGGAAAUUAAAUAAAGGCUAGGAGUAGGAAGGAAAAAAUCACUACGUAUAAUGGGCUUUAAUGUGACGUUAUGCUUUAAUCAAAAUACUGUUAUUCUCUCUUUUGCCUGAGGUAGUUAAUGAGGUUAUCAUAACUAUUCAUUUUUUAAAUAAAUUUUUGUUUUCAAUAAAUACUUGGACCUAGUUUAAAAAGACCAAUAGUAUUACAAGAUGUAAAACAAAACACAGUUGUUCCCUGUCCUACCCAUUCCCAACUUCACUUUCUACCACAUACCUCUCCAAAGGUAACCACUUUCAACUCUUUUAGCAGUUGCUUCUAGUAUUUCUAAAUAAUAUGUUUAUAUUGAUUUCUUGAUUUUUCUAAUUUAGAAAUCAUCCAUGACUUCCUGCAAUGGAAGAUGAGGACACAGCUAAGUAUGAACAUUCAUCUUUUGAGGGCCACACAGGCACAAAUGUUACAGCUACAAGAGGAAAGAAGGUCACAACUGAGGAAAAGGGGCUGAGGGAACUCAAAAAAUACUGCAACUGGCAACAGAGACCACCAUCAAGGGAUAAAAUUACUUCAGCACCUACACACAAAACGCAGAGCAGCUGGAGAAAGGGGCAUGGGAAAAAAAGGCUGCUCAAGAGCAAACCUGAAGACCCUGUUUAUUAGCCAUUUCUCUCCCUGCAAGUGACUGGCAAUCCAUUUUGACUGAACUUGGGAUUCUGAGAUGCUCCGAAUGCCCUCUCUGGUGUUUUUACAGUUGAGGGGAGAAGAGGGUCUGUUCUCCAGGUAAUCUAACACCUCAAGGCUCUGGAUGAUGCAUUAUGCAUGGUUCAUGCAAGACACUGCAGAAAUCCAAUCAGGAGAUGCACACAAGAAAAAACCUUGGCCCUACAUCAAAACAGUAGCAACAAAUGUGGAGUCCUGAGAACUAGUUGCCCCUGGGCUAUGGAGAAAGGGAGCUAAUAAAAUGACCAUGGUGGCAUCAUCAUCAAUAUAGGAACCCGGUGAAUGACUACAUUCGGAUCGCCUUCCUACCAGGGAGACAUAGAUUCACAGCUACAAAUGCCUAAAAAUAGGUAAACGUUUUAUUUCCAUUUUUUAAAAUUCAUCAAUCUUCCCUCCAUUUUCUAUUUGUCACCAGUCACUCUAGCAACAGAAACAAAAUGUUGUUUCCUCCAAGGCCCCUCUAGCUCUUGGUGUUUAUUCCUCAAUAUCCGUGGCCAUAAUCCUCAGGCUGAUGACAUCAGUUGUAUCUGAGGGGCCAGCCGUGAGGCUAGAAGGUGGGAACGUGGAAACUGCUAAAGGAACUUGUGCACAUGGCCUUCGAUAGGUGGCGGAAGAGAAGGGGAAGCUUCCCGAGGUUCCUGAGGAAGGAAGCCAGACUGGUGGGGUAAAAGCAGGCCCUGAGGAACACCCGGCAGUAUGACUCAUUUGGAGAAUACAGAACUAAGUAGGUGGUAGAAACUGCUCAGAGCCGUCCUCAGCCUCAGGCUCACAAUGUGUGGCACACUGCAGGACACGGCGUCACCUUGUAAAGGUUCCCUGGGAUUCGCUAACCCAAGGGCAGAGGUUUGCUUUUUGGGGGGUUAACAACUCAGUAUAGACCAAACAGCAUAUUGGCCAGGCAUUCUCUGCCACCAGAAGAAAAGUUAAGUUUUCUUCUUACUCAAAGGCAUACUCUGGUCCCAACUACUUUCCACCAAAGUGAAACUGGGGUCAAGGGCCAAAGAAGCCUCUCCGUUAUCCUCUCCCUGCAAUACACUUGAAACAAUACAAUGAAUGCACAAUACCAAGAAUGGCCUGCUGGACACAUCUCAUGCUGACUGGCACAUCCUACAGGAAAGCUCAUGUCCUCCCCACAACCCCCACACUGGCGUUCACACCUUGGCCCUACUGGAGCGGUUUUUUUUUUGGUUUUUUUUUUUACUUUCCUCUUCACUAAGACGAAGUAGAAGGAAAAAAAG